This is a long non-coding RNA of Mirounga angustirostris (Northern elephant seal), 1596 nucleotides long. RefSeq lists it as uncharacterized. The transcript is spliced from 3 exons. The record is from RefSeq and is a predicted model, not a curated record. NCBI's taxonomy places the organism in Eukaryota, Metazoa, Chordata, Mammalia, Carnivora, Phocidae.
AAUUGAUCUGGGAGGUUGUGAUCUAGUAAGACUAGAAUCUCUACCCUUAACAGCAGAAAACACAUUAAGCAAUAUAUAAACCCAAAGAAGAAAGGUGUUUCAUAAGAGAAGACCAUCACUAAGCAGGGAAAUAACACUCAUCAGUGUAUUCCCUACAUCACCAGCAGUAAUGAAAACUCUUCUGUUUUGUUCUUCUGCUUUCAUGACAUUUUUCUAGUUUGUCUUUUCAGAUUGAAAAAAAAAAAUGGGUUUGUUUGGAAUAACCUGGCUUCUGUGGCUCCUGCUUGUGGUGAACACUAAGAAAAAGGUGUCUCCAAUUCCUCUAGGAAGACUUUUUCACUUUCAUCAUUUGGCCACUCUAUGUAUGUCUCACAAGACCAGUCACUGCCAGAUCUAAAAGAUAGGGACAUAUGCACAUGUCUUUAUAAGAUUGUAGCUCCUUAAGGGGAAGGUUAUCACAUUUAUCUUGCCUUCCCACAGUACCUACCACAGAGUUUUGCACAUAACUCACUAAAUUCAGUGGAGGUAUGCACUACAGAGAAGCUUACAAAUAAUCCUCCUUGCACAACAUUUGUGCUUCAAAGGUAUGCUUUCUUUUCAGAGAUUUGUAAAAUAUACUGCAAUGUGUUGCCCCUGUCCAUGGUAUCUUUUGGGAAUAAGAGAAAAUAAAGGGAUGCCUGGGUGGCUCAGUUGGUUAAGAGACAGCUUUUGGCUCAGGUCAUGGUCCCAGGGUCCUAGGAUCGAGCCCUGCAUCAGGCUUCCUGUUCGGAGGGAUGCCUGCUUCUCCCUCUCCCACUCCCCCUGUUUGUGUUCCCUCUCUCGCUCUCUCUCGUCAAUUAAAUAAAUAAAUAAAAUCUUAAAAAAAAAGAGAGAGAGAGAAAAUAAAAUUUUUAUUUCAUUGAAAAAGUGGUUGUCAACUUAUAAGUAUUAAUCCCUGCUUUGUUCGCUUGAUGUUUUUAAGUACCAUUUUAGAUGUCAGGAACACAAAAAAGUAACUUGUCCUUUGUGGCCUUAUAAUAUAAUUAGGAAGGUAGACUGCAUUCAUACAUGUGAAAAAAAUACAUAGUGAUAUAGGAUAUCAUGUAGAAAUUGCUGAUGGAAGGAAGAAAAUAGUGCCACCAGAGUUCAGAUGAGAAAGAAGACACUGAAGACUGAGGCACUGGAACUACUGAAAAGAGCAAAGCAUAUAUGGCUUGUGGAUUCAUGGCACACAGUCUGUAGAGGACCAAUAAUGCCAGGAUAGGCAAAGUACUUCUCUGCCCUGACCAGCCCAUGGAGAUUCAAGAUAACUGCCUCCUUCUCCAGUCACAUAAACAAUUCUCGUGCACUGUGUAUCUCAUCUGGAGCAGAUCAUCUCGUGUCUCUUGUUAUAAUGAUUUAUAAACAUGUUUCAGCCCUUCUCCACUUGAUUUUUCUUUCACUUGAUUUUAGGGUUUUUUUUAUAGCAGAAACUGGAUCUUAUUUGUCUUUGUAUCUCUUACAGUAACUAUCAAAGUAUAUUACAAAUAACUCCAUAGGAUGUUCUUAAAAAUUGAAUGGGUUUUCUUCUGGGUCAGAAGAGUGAUCAAGAACAAGUAGAAGGCAGAUUUUUUUUUU